This 920-nucleotide ribosomal RNA is filed under the name Alternaria alternata. Its description in RNAcentral is "partial large subunit ribosomal RNA". It matches the Rfam family "Eukaryotic large subunit ribosomal RNA", at positions 49 to 987 of the family's 3401-position model. Lineage: Eukaryota; Fungi; Ascomycota; Dothideomycetes; Pleosporales; Pleosporaceae. The record is from RNAcentral.
AGCGGAGGAAAAGAAACCAACAGGGAUUGCCCUAGUAACGGCGAGUGAAGCGGCAACAGCUCAAAUUUGAAAUCUGGCUCUUUUAGAGUCCGAGUUGUAAUUUGCAGAGGGCGCUUUGGCUUUGGCAGCGGUCCAAGUUCCUUGGAACAGGACGUCACAGAGGGUGAGAAUCCCGUACGUGGUCGCUGGCUAUUGCCGUGUAAAGCCCCUUCGACGAGUCGAGUUGUUUGGGAAUGCAGCUCUAAAUGGGAGGUACAUUUCUUCUAAAGCUAAAUAUUGGCCAGAGACCGAUAGCGCACAAGUAGAGUGAUCGAAAGAUGAAAAGCACUUUGGAAAGAGAGUCAAACAGCACGUGAAAUUGUUGAAAGGGAAGCGCUUGCAGCCAGACUUGCUUACAGUUGCUCAUCCGGGUUUCUACCCGGUGCACUCUUCUGUAGGCAGGCCAGCAUCAGUUUGGGCGGUAGGAUAAAGGUCUCUGUCACGUACCUCCUUUCGGGGAGGCCUUAUAGGGGAGACGACAUACUACCAGCCUGGACUGAGGUCCGCGCAUCUGCUAGGAUGCUGGCGUAAUGGCUGUAAGCGGCCCGUCUUGAAACACGGACCAAGGAGUCUAACAUCUAUGCGAGUGUUUGGGUGUCAAGCCCGAGCGCGUAAUGAAAGUGAACGGAGGUGGGAACCCGCAAGGGUGCACCAUCGACCGAUCCUGAUGUCUUCGGAAGGAUUUGAGUAAGAGCAUGGCUGUUGGGACCCGAAAGAUGGUGAACUAUGCUUGAAUAGGGUGAAGCCAGAGGAAACUCUGGUGGAGGCUCGCAGCGGUUCUGACGUGCAAAUCGAUCGUCAAAUUUGGGCAUAGGGGCGAAAGACUAAUCGAACUAUCUAGUAGCUGGUUCCUGCCGAAGUUUCCCUCAGGAUAGCAGUAA